GUAGUCCACGCCCUAAACGAUGAUUACUAGUUGUCGGGACUCCUAAUUGUCUCGGUGACGCAGCUAACGCAUUAAGUAAUCCGCCUGGGAAUUACGGUCGCAAGAUUAAAACUCAAAGGAAUUGACGGGGGCCCGCACAAGCGGUGGAUCAUGUGGUUUAAUUCGACGCUACGCGAAGAACCUUACCUAGGCUUGACAUCCCGUGCUACCCCAUGAAAGUGGGGGUUCCCUUCGGGGACGCGGAGACAGGUGCUGCAUGGCUGUCGUCAGCUCGUGUUGUGAGAUGUUGGGUUAAGUCCCGCAACGAGCGCAACCCUCGUCGGUAGUUACCAGCAUUAAGUUGGGCACUCUACCGAGACCGCUGGGCUAUAAGCCAGA
RNAcentral lists this ribosomal RNA (378 nucleotides) under uncultured bacterium. RNAcentral describes it as "bacterial SSU rRNA". It matches the Rfam family "Bacterial small subunit ribosomal RNA", at positions 790 to 1167 of the family's 1533-position model. The record is from RNAcentral.